GAUGAAGAACGCAACGAAAUGCGAUAAGUAGUGUGAAUUGCAGAAUUCAGUGAAUCAUCGAAUCUUUGAACGCACAUUGCGCCCCUUGGUAUUCCAUGGGGCAUGCCUGUUCGAGCGUCAUUUGUACCUUCAAGCUUUGCUUGGUGUUGGGUGUUUGUCUCGCCUUUGCGUGUAGACUCGCCUUAAAAUAAUUGGCAGCCGGCGUAUUGAUUUCGGAGCGCAGUACAUCUCGCGCUUUGCACUCAUAACGACAGCGUCCAAAAGUACAUUUUACGCUCGUGACCUCGGAUCAGGUAGGGAUACCCGCUGAACUUAAGCAUAUCAAUAAGCGGAGGA
Molecule: unclassified non-coding RNA, 336 nt
Filed under: soil metagenome
Description: partial contains 5.8S ribosomal RNA, internal transcribed spacer 2, and large subunit ribosomal RNA
Rfam family: 5.8S ribosomal RNA (bases 1-120)
Source: RNAcentral